CGCCUGUUUAUCAAAAACAUAGCCUUUAGCCAAACAAAUAUUGAAGGUAAUGCCUGCCCAGUGAAGUCACUUUCAACGGCCGCGGUACCCUAACCGUGCAAAGGUAGGGUAUCACUUGUCCACUAAUUAUGGACCUGUAUGAAUGGCCACAUGAGAAUCUAACUGUCUCUUGUAACUAAUUUAUAAAACUGAUCUUCCAGUCCAAAAGCUAGAAUACCCAUAUAAGACGAGAAGACCCUGUGAAGCUUAAAAAACCCCAUUAAACCUGUUAAUGGGUAUUUUUAGUUGGGGCAACUUUGGAAAACAACUUAACUUCCAAA
This 320-nucleotide ribosomal RNA is filed under the name Typhlops sp. SBH-2014a. RNAcentral describes it as "partial 16S ribosomal RNA". It matches the Rfam family "Bacterial large subunit ribosomal RNA", at positions 1797 to 2308 of the family's 2925-position model. Lineage: Eukaryota; Metazoa; Chordata; Lepidosauria; Squamata; Typhlopidae. The record is from RNAcentral.